GAGUAGUUAGCCUAACCGCAAGGAGGGCGAUUACCACGGUAGGGUUCAUGACUGGGGUGAAGUCGUAACAAGGUAGCCGUAUCGGAAGGUGCGGCUGGAUCACCUCCUUU
This 110-nucleotide ribosomal RNA is filed under the name Ralstonia pickettii. Its description in RNAcentral is "16S ribosomal RNA". It matches the Rfam family "Bacterial small subunit ribosomal RNA", at positions 1424 to 1533 of the family's 1533-position model. The record is from RNAcentral. Lineage: Bacteria; Pseudomonadati; Pseudomonadota; Betaproteobacteria; Burkholderiales; Burkholderiaceae.